UAGAGCACUGGAUAGGCGAUGGGCCCUACCGGGUUACUGACCUUAGCCAAACUCCGAAUGCCGGUAAGUGAGAGCGCGGCAGUGAGACUGUGGGGGAUAAGCUCCAUGGUCGAGAGGGAAACAGCCCAGAGCAUCGACUAAGGCCCCUAAGCGUACGCUAAGUGGGAAAGGAUGUGGAGUCGCACAGACAACCAGGAGGUUGGCUUAGAAGCAGCCACCCUUGAAAGAGUGCGUAAUAGCUCACUGGUCUAGUGAUUCCGCGCCGACAAUGUAGCGGGCUCAAGCGUACCGCCGAAGUCGUGUCAUUGCGAUAUAUACCCCCAACGGGGAUCGUGAUGGGUAGGGGAGCGUCGUGUGCCGGGUGAAGCAGCACCGGAAGGUAGUUGUGGACGGUUCACGAGUGAGAAUGCAGGCAUGAGUAGCGAUUCACACGUGAGAAACGUGUGCGCCGAUUGACUAAGGGUUCCUGGGUCAAGCUGAUCUGCCCAGGGUAAGUCGGGACCUAAGGCGAGGCCGACAGGCGUAGUCGAUGGAUAACCGGUUGAUAUUCCGGUACCCGCUGUGAAGCGUCAAACAUCGAAUCCAGUGAUGCUAAGCCCGUGAAGCCGUUCCGGACCCUUCGGGGAAAGGAAAGUGGUGGAGCCGGUGACCCGAUCUGGUAGUAGGUGAGUGAUGGGGUGACGCAGGAAGGUAGUCCAGCCCGGGCGGUGGUUGUCCCGGGGUAAGGGUGUAGGCCGUGCGGUAGGUAAAUCCGUCGCACACAAGGCUGAGACCUGAUGCCGAGCCGAUUGUGGUGAAGUGGAUGAUCCUAUGCUGUCGAGAAAAGCCUCUAGCGAGUUUCAUGGCGGCCCGUACCCUAAACCGACUCAGGUGGUCAGGUAGAGAAUACCGAGGCGUUCGGGUGAACUAUGGUUAAGGAACUCGGCAAAAAUGCCCCCGUAACUUCGGGAGAAGGGGGGCCACAUCUGGUGAUGAGCUUUGCGCUCUGAGCUGGGGGUGGCCGCAGAGACCAGCGAGAAGCGACUGUUUACUAAAAACACAGGUCCGUGCGAAGCCGUAAGGCGAUGUAUACGGACUGACGCCUGCCCGGUGCUGGAACGUUAAGGGGACCGGUUAGCUCCAUUUCGGUGGGGCGAAGCUGAGAACUUAAGCGCCAGUAAACGGCGGUGGUAACUAUAACCAUCCUAAGGUAGCGAAAUUCCUUGUCGGGUAAGUUCCGACCUGCACGAAUGGCGUAACGACUUCUCGACUGUCUCAACCAUAGGCCCGGUGAAAUUGCACUACGAGUAAAGAUGCUCGUUUCGCGCAGCAGGACGGAAAGACCCCGGGACCUUUACUACAGUUUGAUAUUGGUGUUCGGUUCGGCUUGUGUAGGAUAGCUGGGAGACUGUGAAGCGCUAACGCCAGUUAGUGUGGAGUCGUCGUUGAAAUACCAGUCUGGUCGUGCUGGAUGUCUAACCUGGGUCCGUGAUCCGGAUCAGGGACAGUGUCUGAUGGGUAGUUUAACUGGGGCGGUUGCCUCCUAAAGAGUAACGGAGGCGCCCAAAGGUUCCCUCAGCCUGGUUGGCAAUCAGGUGUUGAGUGUAAGUGCACAAGGGAGCUUGACUGUGAGACCGACGGGUCGAGCAGGGACGAAAGUCGGGACUAGUGAUCCGGCGGUGGCUUGUGGAAGCGCCGUCGCUCAACGGAUAAAAGGUACCCCGGGGAUAACAGGCUGAUCUUCCCCAAGAGUCCAUAUCGACGGGAUGGUUUGGCACCUCGAUGUCGGCUCGUCGCAUCCUGGGGCUGGAGUCGGUCCCAAGGGUUGGGCUGUUCGCCCAUUAAAGCGGUACGCGAGCUGGGUUUAGAACGUCGUGAGACAGUUCGGUCCCUAUCCGCUGUGCGCGUAGGAGUCUUGAGAAGGGCUGUCCCUAGUACGAGAGGACCGGGACGGACGAACCUCUGGUGUGCCAGUUGUUCUGCCAAGGGCAUGGCUGGUUGGCUACGUUCGGGAGGGAUAACCGCUGAAAGCAUCUAAGCGGGAAGCCUGCUUCGAGAUGAGGACUCCCACCUCCUAGAGAGGGUAAGGCUCCCAGUAGACGACUGGGUUGAUAGGCCGGAUAUGGAAGCACGGUAACGUGUGGAGUUGACCGGUACUAAUAGGCCGAGGGCUUGUCCU
Molecule: ribosomal RNA, 2158 nt
Filed under: Streptomyces afghaniensis 772
Lineage: Bacteria; Bacillati; Actinomycetota; Actinomycetes; Kitasatosporales; Streptomycetaceae
Description: bacterial LSU rRNA
Rfam family: Bacterial large subunit ribosomal RNA
Source: RNAcentral